Cyprinus carpio carpio is the source of this 1445-nucleotide long non-coding RNA. The record is from Ensembl. NCBI's taxonomy places the organism in Eukaryota, Metazoa, Chordata, Actinopteri, Cypriniformes, Cyprinidae.
UGAAAAAUUUAUUUAUUUUUUAUUUUGGGGUGAAAUAUGACCUGGAUAUUUCUUUGUGAGAUAUAUAGGCUAAUGUUCUGGAACCUGGGUUCCAUGCAAAGCCAUAAAAAAAAAAAAAAAAAAAUUCAAACUCUGGAAUCAGAGUGGAAGAAUGUGUGUGUUUUACCUCAUGGUGUAGGACAUAUAGAUUCACACUACAUCUAACCUAAGGACCAAUUAAGAAGAAACAAUAUUUUCUCAAAUCGAGGCAGCAGAAUCAAUGUCUUUUGAUUAAAUAAUCAUCUGUCCAUUCUUGUGUUUUUUGGUACUGAUGCUCCAGCUUACGUCAAAAUCAUACUGUAUGUAUUAUGAACAAAAAUACAUUUCUGCACAAAUCCAUCAUUUACAUUUUUUUUAAUCAUAUUGUGCUUUUCGAUUGAAAGUACUUUGUGCCUUUGCAAGCCUUUCCUCUUAUUUCUAAAGGACCUUUGUAUAUAAUAUUUAGAUGUUGGGAUUACUAGUACUUAAUCCAGAAGUAAAAGACUAGGUUUUUUUUUUUUUUUUUUGGUCUGGUCAAAUUGUCAUUAACCAGUCUGUCGAUGUAGUCUCAAAUACAUCUGAACAUUUAUAUCAUGACACUGUUAUGCAGCCUCAACUCACUUUUUUUUUGCUUUAUUUCAAAUGUCCUCAUUCUCAUCCACUGGUGGUUAUUGCCUCUUGAAAUGUGUAAGAUCAAGGUGCAAGGUUAAAGAAGGUUAUUGAUCUCGGUGAUAACUGAUUUUUCUCUGUUUGUUUGGCCAGCAGGUGUUGGAUUUUUGUUAGUAAAUGUUCAAUUUAAAAAAGGUUUGAAGAGCGCUUAACCCAAUCACCAGCAGUUAUUUGUGCUUUUAUUUUAUGUGAAAGGUGUGUUUUGAAUGCACUCUUUUUACACAUUUUUGAAUUUUGUUUGCUUUUGUUUGAUGUGAUUAACGUCAAAUGCUUUUGAAGUUGUCACAAGACAGUGGUUCUCAACCCCCCUACAAACUAGCGUCAGUAGAUUGAAGCAACCAAUUGUGUUUAAAUUAUUUCACAUUUUUCAAAAACUGUAUGUACCAACAAGUUAUAAAUGGUAUAGAUUUAUAAUUGGUCUUGGCUCGGGACACACAGGACCACAUUUCUACAUUGCAAUUGGGAGUUUAAGUGCUGCAUUUUCACCAGAGUGAAAAAUAGGCAUGUGAAUUGGCACUUUGCAUGUAUCUUUUAAUUAUUUACAUUUAUUAAAACUUGUUUUAAAUAAAUGGUCAACGAGCCCAUUUGGAAGUUUGCUGUCGCCCCCUAGUGGCCCCUGGUUGAGAACCACUGUUACAGGGAUAAUCGUUCACUCAUGAGUGUGUAAGAAGUACAUUCAGUAUCGUGAAGAAACGUGAACUAAUGACAUUUGACGUAAAUAAACGUAUUUUGCUUUAAUCAGUACAUUUGUAUACUCC